This 436-nucleotide ribosomal RNA is filed under the name uncultured Geobacillus sp. Its description in RNAcentral is "bacterial SSU rRNA". It matches the Rfam family "Bacterial small subunit ribosomal RNA", at positions 948 to 1382 of the family's 1533-position model. Lineage: Bacteria; Bacillati; Bacillota; Bacilli; Caryophanales; Anoxybacillaceae. The record is from RNAcentral.
AAUUCGAAGCAACGCGAAGAACCUUACCAGGUCUUGACAUCCCCUGACAACCAAGAGAUUGGGCGUUCCCCCUUCGGGGGGACAGGGUGACAGGUGGUGCAUGGUUGUCGUCAGCUCGUGUCGUGAGAUGUUGGGUUAAGUCCCGCAACGAGCGCAACCCUCGCCUCUAGUUGCCAGCAUUCGGUUGGGCACUCUAGAGGGACUGCCGGCGACAAGUCGGAGGAAGGUGGGGAUGACGUCAAAUCAUCAUGCCCCUUAUGACCUGGGCUACACACGUGCUACAAUGGGCGGUACAAUGGGUAGCCAAGCCGCGAGGCGGAGCCAAUCCUGAAAGCAGGCCUCAGUUCAGAUUGCAGUCUGCAACUCGACUGCAUGAAGCCGGAGUUGCUAGUAACCGCAGGUCAGCAAUACUGCGGUGAAUACGUUCCCGGGUCUU